UACGGAGGGGGCUAGCGUUGUUCGGAAUUACUGGGCGUAAAGCGCACGUAGGCGGCUUUGCAGGUUAGAGGUGAAAGCCCGGAGUUUAACUCCGGAAUUGCCUUUAAAACUGCAUCGCUAGAAUUGUGGAGAGGUGAGUGGAAUUCCGAGUGUAGAGGUGAAAUUCGUAGAUAUUCGGAAGAACACCAGUGGCGAAGGCGACUCACUGGACACAUAUUGACGCUGGGGUGCGAAAGCGUGGGGAGCAAACAGG
RNAcentral lists this ribosomal RNA (253 nucleotides) under uncultured bacterium. Its description in RNAcentral is "partial 16S ribosomal RNA". It matches the Rfam family "Bacterial small subunit ribosomal RNA", at positions 524 to 776 of the family's 1533-position model. The record is from RNAcentral.